GUUAAAAAGCUCGUAGUUGGAUUUCUGCAUGGAAGGGCCAGUCCGCCCACUGGGUAGGUACUGUUUCCUUUUGUGCAUCUUCCUGAGGAUUCGUACUUCACUUUAAUGUGAGGGCGUAGGACUCAGGACUUUUACUUUGAGGAAAUGAGAGUGUUUCAAGCAGGCAAUUGCCUUGAAUACGUUAGCAUGGAAUAAUAGCAUCGGACCAUCGUCUAGCUGUUGGUGUCUAGGCGAAGGUAAAGGUGAAUAGGGAUUGUUGGGGGCAUUCGUAUUUAACUGUCAGAGGUGAAAUUCUUGGAUUUGUUGAAGACGGACUACUGCGAAAGCAUCUGCCAAAGAUGUUCUCAUUGAUCAAGAACGAAAGUUAGGUGAUCGAAGACGAUCAGAUACCGUCCUAGUCUUAACCAUAAACUAUGCCGACUGGAGAUAGGAAGUCUACAUACUACGUGUCUUUCUGCAUCUUGAGAGAAAUCAAAGUCUUUGGGUUCCGGGGGGAGUAUGGUCGCAAGGCUGAAACUUAAAGGAAUUGACGGAAGGGCACCACCAGGAGUGGAGCCUGCGGCUUAAUUUGACUCAACACGGGGAAACUUACCAGGUCCGGACAUGGGUAGGAUUGAC
RNAcentral lists this ribosomal RNA (618 nucleotides) under uncultured marine eukaryote. RNAcentral's name for it is "bacterial SSU rRNA". It matches the Rfam family "Eukaryotic small subunit ribosomal RNA", at positions 618 to 1244 of the family's 1831-position model. The record is from RNAcentral.